GACGAACGCUGGCGGCGUGCUUAACACAUGCAAGUCGAACGGAAAGGCCUCUUUCGGGGGGUACUCGAGUGGCGAACGGGUGAGUAACACGUGAGUAACCUGCCCUUGACUUUGGGAUAACUUCAGGAAACUGGGGCUAAUACCGGAUAGGAGCUCCUGCUGCAUGGUGGGGGUUGGAAAGUUUCGGCGGUUGGGGAUGGACUCGCGGCUUAUCAGCUUGUUGGUGGGGUAGUGGCUUACCAAGGCUUUGACGGGUAGCCGGCCUGAGAGGGUGACCGGCCACAUUGGGACUGAGAUACGGACCAGACUCCUACGGGAGGCAGCAGUGGGGAAUAUUGCACAAUGGGUGGAAGCCUGAUGCAGCAACGCCGUGUGCGGGAUGACGGCCUUCGGGUUGUAAACCGCUUUCGCUCAUGACGGAGCUUUGUGUGACGGUAGUGGGGAAAGAAGCACCGGCUAACUACGUG
RNAcentral lists this ribosomal RNA (467 nucleotides) under uncultured bacterium. RNAcentral's name for it is "partial 16S ribosomal RNA". It matches the Rfam family "Bacterial small subunit ribosomal RNA", at positions 28 to 507 of the family's 1533-position model. The record is from RNAcentral.